RNAcentral lists this ribosomal RNA (253 nucleotides) under uncultured bacterium. Its description in RNAcentral is "partial 16S ribosomal RNA". It matches the Rfam family "Bacterial small subunit ribosomal RNA", at positions 524 to 776 of the family's 1533-position model. The record is from RNAcentral.
UACGGAGGGGGCAAGCGUUACUCGGAAUUAUUGGGCGUAAAGAGCUCGUAGGCGGUCUGUCGCGUCGGAUGUGAAAACCCAGGGCUCAACCCUGGGCCUGCAGCCGAUACGGGCAGGCUAGAGUUCGGUAGGGGAGACUGGAAUUCCUGGUGUAGCGGUGAAAUGCGCAGAUAUCAGGAGGAACACCGGUGGCGAAGGCGGGUCUCUGGGCCGAUACUGACGCUGAGGAGCGAAAGCGUGGGGAGCGAACAGG